RNAcentral lists this non-coding RNA (21 nucleotides) under Arabidopsis thaliana (thale cress). The record is from RNAcentral. Lineage: Eukaryota; Viridiplantae; Streptophyta; Magnoliopsida; Brassicales; Brassicaceae.
UGACGGCCAUUUUGAGUUCCU